RNAcentral lists this transfer RNA (73 nucleotides) under Caudoviricetes sp. RNAcentral's name for it is "tRNA-Ile". It matches the Rfam family "tRNA". Rfam says of the family: Transfer RNA (tRNA) molecules are approximately 80 nucleotides in length. Their secondary structure includes four short double-helical elements and three loops (D, anti-codon, and T loops). RNAcentral also lists the same sequence under 1 other name. Lineage: Duplodnaviria; Heunggongvirae; Uroviricota; Caudoviricetes. The record is from RNAcentral.
GGACUAGUAGUUCAAUAGAUUAGAACACAACACUGAUAAGGUUGAGAUGUGCGUUUGAAUCCCACCUAGUCCA